Molecule: long non-coding RNA, 528 nt
Organism: Alligator mississippiensis (American alligator)
Lineage: Eukaryota; Metazoa; Chordata; Crocodylia; Alligatoridae
Exons: 2
Source: RefSeq, a predicted model, not a curated record
GAAUGGGCCCGUGCUGACCGCGGUGUCUCCGCCAGGCCGGGCCGGGCCCCCCCGGUGCCAGUACCCGCUGGUGGUGCCCCUGGCCCGGCACCUGCUGCUCUUUGCCCGGGUCCCUAGGCCAUGCGUGGUGGAGGCCGGGUAUCUGCUGCUGUGCACUGGGGGCCGCAGCCCUCCCACCCCACGCGCCCCAGAGCCCUCCUGAGCCCCUGGGGGGGCCGAGGCCUGGGUUCCCCUUCCCUGCAGGGGAAACUGAGGCACAGAGCAGGGGCAACUGCAACAUGAGGCGAGGGGGGAACCCAGGAGUCCUGAAGCACCCCCCCCCCAGCCUACAGUGGGGGGAUCCAGGCAUUCAGCUCUGUGCCCCCAUGACCGCGCAGCCAGGCGCGGAGGGGCCCCCCUGCCCUCGGGACGGACCCCCCAUGGAUGGAUGGCAGUGUCAGCACCUGCCUCUGCUCCCCCAGAACUGCCCCCAACAGCAAGAGGGGCUGAGAGUGUAACAUGGCGGGACAAUAAAAACUGAACAAUGGA